UAUACAAGUGGACCGUCGGUCUACCGAGCAAUAUCAUCCGCGCGGUGGAAGAUCUUCCCUUUGUCGU
Molecule: microRNA precursor, 67 nt
Filed under: Bombyx mori (domestic silkworm)
Lineage: Eukaryota; Metazoa; Arthropoda; Insecta; Lepidoptera; Bombycidae
Description: mir-2774 microRNA precursor family
Rfam family: mir-2774 microRNA precursor family
Source: Rfam by way of RNAcentral